AAGGCUAUACUUUCAGGGAUCAUUUCAAUAGUUUCUGACUUGAGAAAUGUGUUUCUGAAGUGUUUGGUCUUGCUAACUAUGAUGAUGAGUUGUGAUAUUCCUUUCUGAGUGUGAAGCUGAUAGAGUAAUGAUUCCCUUAAUGUACUCUCUGUCAUUGAUGAUCAUUCUUUGCUUCUUUAUGAAGCAUUGAUGAAGGGAAUGUGGUCAGAGUGGU
This is a small nucleolar RNA of Perca flavescens (yellow perch), 214 nucleotides long. RefSeq annotates it as small nucleolar RNA U3. The transcript has a single exon. The record is from RefSeq and is a predicted model, not a curated record. NCBI's taxonomy places the organism in Eukaryota, Metazoa, Chordata, Actinopteri, Perciformes, Percidae.